RNAcentral lists this ribosomal RNA (404 nucleotides) under Acidobacteriota bacterium. RNAcentral's name for it is "Acidobacteria bacterium partial 16S ribosomal RNA". It matches the Rfam family "Bacterial small subunit ribosomal RNA", at positions 355 to 776 of the family's 1533-position model. The record is from RNAcentral. Lineage: Bacteria; Pseudomonadati; Acidobacteriota.
UGGGGAAUAUUGCACAAUGGGGGAAACCCUGAUGCAGCGACGCCGCGUGAGCGAUGAAGGCUUUCGAGUCGUAAAGCUCUGUCCUACGGGAAGAUAAUGACGGUACCAUAGAAGAAAGCCCCGGCUAAUUACGUGCCAGCAGCCGCGGUAAUACGUAAGGGGCGAGCGUUGUCCGGAAUUAUUGGGCGUAAAGAGUGCGUAGGCGGCAAAUUAAGUCAGAUGUGAAAACUAAGGGCUCAACCCAUAGAUUGCAUCUGAAACUGAUAUGCUUGAGUCAAGGAGAGGAAAGUGGAAUUCCUAGGGUAGCAGUGGAAUGCGUAGAUAUUAGGAGGAAUACCGGUGGCGAAGGCGACUUUCUGGGCUUGAACUGACGCUGAGGCACGAAAGCGUGGGGAGCAAACAGG